UACGUAGGGGGCAAGCGUUGUCCGGAUUUAUUGGGCGUAAAGAGCGUGUAGGCGGCUAGAUAGGUCCGUUGUGAAAACUCGAGGCUCAACCUCGAGACGUCGAUGGAAACCAUCUGGCUAGAGUCCGGAAGAGGAGAGUGGAAUUCCUGGUGUAGCGGUGAAAUGCGCAGAUAUCAGGAGGAACACCAGUGGCGAAGGCGGUGGUCUGGGCCGGAACUGACGCUGUAGAGCGAAAGCGUGGGGAGCGAACAGG
RNAcentral lists this ribosomal RNA (253 nucleotides) under uncultured bacterium. Its description in RNAcentral is "partial 16S ribosomal RNA". It matches the Rfam family "Bacterial small subunit ribosomal RNA", at positions 524 to 776 of the family's 1533-position model. The record is from RNAcentral.